GAGUUUGAUCGUGGCUCAGGAUGAACGCUAGCUACAGGCCUAACACAUGCAAGUCGAGGGGAAACGGGAAAGCAGUUUGCUGCUUUCUGUCGUCGACCGGCGCACGGGUGAGUAACGCGUAUCCAACCUUCCCAUAACUAAGGGGAUACCCCGUAGAAAUGCGGCCUAAUACCUUAUGUACUCCCAUGACGGCAUCAGAAUGGGAGCAAAGAAUUUCGGUUAUGGAUGGGGAUGCGUCUGAUUAGCUUGCUGGCGGGGUAACGGCCCACCAGGGCAUCGAUCAGUAGGGGUUCUGAGAGGAAGGUCCCCCACAUUGGAACUGAGACACGGUCCAAACUCCUACGGGAGGCAGCAGUGAGGAAUAUUGGUCAAUGGGCGUAAGCCUGAACCAGCCAAGUAGCGUGCAGGAUGACGGCCCUAUGGGUUGUAAACUGCUUUUACAGGGGAAUAAAGUGAUUCACGUGUGUUUCAUUGCAUGUACCCUGCGAAUAAGGACCGGCUAAUUCCGUGCCAGCCGCCGCCGU
RNAcentral lists this ribosomal RNA (524 nucleotides) under uncultured microorganism. RNAcentral describes it as "bacterial SSU rRNA". It matches the Rfam family "Bacterial small subunit ribosomal RNA", at positions 9 to 521 of the family's 1533-position model. The record is from RNAcentral.